GAGCGGGCGAGGUUGCUUCGGUAACUGAGCUAGCGGCGGACGGGUGAGUAAAGCUUAGGAAUCUGCCUAUUAGUGGGGGACAACAUUCCGAAAGGGAUGCUAAUACCGCAUACGUCCUACGGGAGAAAGCAGGGGAUCCUUGUGACCUUGCGCUAAUAGAUGAGCCUAAGUCGGAUUAGCUAGUUGGUGGGGUAAAGGCCUACCAAGGCGACGAUCUGUAGCGGGUCUGAGAGGAUGAUCCGCCACACUGGGACUGAGACACGGCCCAGACUCCUACGGGAGGCAGCAGUGGGGAAUAUUGGACAAUGGGGGGAACCCUGAUCCAGCCAUGCCGCGUGUGUGAAGAAGGCCUUUUGGUUGUAAAGCACUUUAAGCGAGGAGGAGGCUUACCUGGUUAAUACCUGGGAUAAGUGGACGUUACUCGCAGAAUAAGCACCGGCUAACUCUGUGCCAGCAGCCGCGGUAAUACAGAGGGUGCGAGCGUUAAUCGGAUUUACUGGGCGUAAAGCGCGCGUAGGUGGUUAAUUAAGUCAAAUGUGAAAUCCCCGAGCUUAACUUGGGAAUUGCAUUCGAUACUGGUUAGCUAGAGUAUGGGAGAGGAUGGUAGAAUUCCAGGUGUAGCGGUGAAAUGCGUAGAGAUCUGGAGGAAUACCGAUGGCGAAGGCAGCCAUCUGGCCUAAUACUGACACUGAGGUGCGAAAGCAUGGGGAGCAAACAGGAUUAGAUACCCUGGUAGUCCAUGCCGUAAACGAUGUCUACUAGCCGUUGGGGGAUUUGAUCCUUUAGUGGCGCAGCUAACGCGAUAAGUAGACCGCCUGGGGAGUACGGUCGCAAGACUAAAACUCAAAUGAAUUGACGGGGGCCCGCACAAGCGGUGGAACAUGUGGUUUAAUUCGAUGCAACGCGAAGAACCUUACCUGGCCUUGACAUAGUAGAGACUUUCCAGAAAUGGAUUGGUGCCUUC
Molecule: ribosomal RNA, 964 nt
Filed under: Acinetobacter baumannii
Lineage: Bacteria; Pseudomonadati; Pseudomonadota; Gammaproteobacteria; Moraxellales; Moraxellaceae
Description: bacterial SSU rRNA
Rfam family: Bacterial small subunit ribosomal RNA
Source: RNAcentral